CCUACGGGACGCUGCAGGCGAGAAAACUUUGCAAUGUGCGAAAGCACGACAAGGUUAAUCCGAGUGGUUUCUGCUAAAGAAACCUUUUGUUAGUCCUAGAAACACUGAUGAAUAAGGGGUGGGCAAGUUCUGGUGUCAGCCGCCGCGGUAAAACCAGCACCUCAAGUGGUCAGGAUGAUUAUUGGGCCUAAAGCAUCCGUAGCCGGCUAUGUAAGUUUUCGGUUAAAUCUGUGCGCUUAACGUACAGGCUGCCGGGAAUACUGCAUAGCUAGGAAGUGGGAGAGGUAGACGGUACUCGGUAGGAAGGGGUAAAAUCCUUUGAUCUAUUGAUGACCACCUGUGGCGAAGGCGGUCUACCAGAACACGUUCGACGGUGAGGGAUGAAAGCUGGGGGAGCAAACCGGAUUAGAUACCCCUGUAGUC
Molecule: ribosomal RNA, 423 nt
Filed under: uncultured archaeon
Lineage: Archaea
Description: partial 16S ribosomal RNA
Rfam family: Archaeal small subunit ribosomal RNA
Source: RNAcentral